This is a long non-coding RNA of Pezoporus occidentalis (night parrot), 1310 nucleotides long. RefSeq lists it as uncharacterized. The record is from RefSeq and is a predicted model, not a curated record. The transcript is spliced from 2 exons. NCBI's taxonomy places the organism in Eukaryota, Metazoa, Chordata, Aves, Psittaciformes, Psittacidae.
GUAUGAGGCUGCACUCUUUCCAUGUCUAUUAAAGGCCAUGAUGACAGCUAAUAGUUGUCUCAUGAGAUAACAUUAACCCAUUGCAAGUGCUGUUUCUAUUACCUUCCAUUAUUCUUUGCCGUGUUCACUACAGGUUGUUGAAAACUUCUGGAGCACUGAACUGUCUUUUACUUUAUUUGUACACCCACAGAUAAAAAUCUUUAAAUGUAAAUUAUGUAAGUAAUAAUUGGGAAGGGGAGGAGUCCUGAUAUGCCCAUCUGAAAUGCAGGAAACACCUGUAUGUACCAACCUAUUUAGACUGAGCUGCUGCAUAUGUAAGAGCUUGAUAAACAUAUAGACAGACAGAAACCAAUACAUGGUGUUUGGGUACUUUUGUGUUUAGAGAACAGUAAUAAUUUUCAAUGGUAUAGAAUUGAACAACUUCACUGAAGUUUAUGAUACUGUAAGGGUCAAUUCAAAGACAGAAUUAAGCUUUAAAAUAUCAGUGAAAUGCUUAUGAGUGUUCUAGGUGACAGAGUGAUGAACUAGUUCUGCUCAAAAGUCACUGGAGGAAUUUGCUUCUCAUGGUGAGAGCUCAUGUUUACAAACAUCCAAAAUACCCUUUUUUGUUUUCUUAGCAUUCAUUAGCCAAGUGUUUGAAAAUAGACAACUGCUGGAUUGGGUUGCACAAGAAAGGUGAAACCUUCUACUGGGAGAAUGGCGCUGCCUUGAAGAAGGCCUUGUUCCAGAUACAGAAUCACUCUGAAUGUGUCUACUUGGAUGGUUUCACUAUUUCUGCAUCAGCAUGCUCUUUGCCAAGGUUCUCAAUCUGUCUGAAACUUCAUAUUAACAGUUAAACACCUAUUGUGCAGUGGGCCUGCUGUCUCAGACCAUCUGGAAGCCUAAACAGGACAGAGGAGGAUUUGUGUCAGCUGCCAAAAUGUGCUUCUAGGUCUUUGCUGCUUUGGAUUUGAGGAUCCGAACCUGACUCCCUUCUGAUCACUACAUUCAUGAAGAGUGAACUUGGAUAAAACUGGAGAAGUGCAGUGGUGGUGCAGUCAGAUCAGCAUGCAGCAAUCCAGCACCACAUGCCAUCUUUCCUGCCCUGAGACUGUUGUAACAGAUAGAGCCCAGAGUCAUGAACUAAAAUGACUAAGGGAAUAACCACAGAAUCAUAGAAUCAGCAAGAUUGGGAAAGACCUUUAAGAUCAUCAAGUCCAACUAUUACCCCAGGACUGCGAAGUCCACCACUGAACCGUAUCACUGAGGGGCCUCAUCUACAUGCUGUGUAGAUAUACCUAUGUGUAUACCUGUUAAAAGACAGGAAAGGC